UACUUCUUUGCUUGCAAUUGAAUUAGGGUUCUUGAGAGAGCCCAGAUUAGGGUAAUAAAGAGGCGAGAUGUAAGACAGUGGUUAGGUAUUGGGGUUAGGGUUUGUUGGGCAGAAAGAAGAGGCUAAUGGGGAAGA
Telopea speciosissima is the source of this 135-nucleotide long non-coding RNA. RefSeq lists it as uncharacterized. Lineage: Eukaryota; Viridiplantae; Streptophyta; Magnoliopsida; Proteales; Proteaceae. The record is from RefSeq and is a predicted model, not a curated record. The transcript is spliced from 3 exons.